AUUGAACGCUGGCGGCAGGUCUAACACAUGCAAGUCGCACGAGUGGCGGACGGGUGAGUAAUGGCUGGGAAACUGCCUGAUGGAGGGGGAUAACUACUGGAAACGGUAGCUAAUACCGCAUACCAUCAGAUGUGCCCAGAUGGGAUUAGCUUGUUGGUGGGGUAACGGCUCACCAAGUCGACGAGCCCUAGCUGGUCUGAGAGGAUGACCAGCCAGACGGGCACUGAGACACGGGCCAGAGUCCUACGGGAGGCAGCAGUGGGGAAUAUUGAACAAAGGGGGCAAGCCUGAUGCAGCCAUGCCGCGUGAAGGAAGAAGGCCUUCGGGUGGUAAAGUACUUUCAGCGGGGAGGCGUUACCCGCAGAAGAAGCACCGGCUAACUCCGUGCCAGCAGCCGCGGUAAUUC
This 406-nucleotide ribosomal RNA is filed under the name uncultured bacterium. Its description in RNAcentral is "partial 16S ribosomal RNA". It matches the Rfam family "Bacterial small subunit ribosomal RNA", at positions 29 to 526 of the family's 1533-position model. The record is from RNAcentral.